AGCGGGGAGAUCAAGAAAAGCAAAUAGGUGGUGUCAGAAAGGUUGUCCAAGCAGCUGUCACUUUAGAGAAAUGAAUAUUGCCCUUUUACAGCUGGAGUAUAUUGACCUUUACAACCAACAAGUGAAAGAGGAAAAGCAACGAAGAAGAAGAUAAGCUUUCUCAAUAAUAAGUCUAUUAUUAUUCCUUUUGUCUGCCAUCCGCCAAAAAAAAAAAGGGCAAAAUGUCGGCAAGCCCAAAAUAGUGGCCUGGAAUGUUAUGUGGAAGGCGAAGGCCCAUAUGCCCAAAAGAGCCAGGCCCUAUGGCUUUAAACUCCAACCUUCAUCCCUCCACUUAAGGUUCACCCA
RNAcentral lists this long non-coding RNA (345 nucleotides) under Malus domestica (apple). RNAcentral's name for it is "long non-coding RNA (MDOM_LNC012585)". The record is from RNAcentral. Lineage: Eukaryota; Viridiplantae; Streptophyta; Magnoliopsida; Rosales; Rosaceae.